This 112-nucleotide non-coding RNA is filed under the name Prolemur simus (greater bamboo lemur). The record is from RNAcentral. Lineage: Eukaryota; Metazoa; Chordata; Mammalia; Primates; Lemuridae.
GUGUUGUAUGAAAGGAGAGAAGGUUGUCACUCCUCUUGACAAGGAUGGAAGAGGCCCUCGGGUAUGGUUAAGGCAUUACCACCUACUGCAUGGCAACUAUCCAUUGUUUUUA